RNA transcript from Zeugodacus cucurbitae (melon fly), 3266 nucleotides. RefSeq lists it as uncharacterized. The record is from RefSeq and is a predicted model, not a curated record. NCBI's taxonomy places the organism in Eukaryota, Metazoa, Arthropoda, Insecta, Diptera, Tephritidae. The transcript has 3 exons.
UGGCAUCUUUAGCUAUGUCUAAUUGUCACAAAACUUACCACAUAUUUUGUUGGAGCUCUAUUUUUUAUUUUAAAUGUUUUAAAAUCAUUUAAUAUAACGUUAAAGGACUCAUAUAACUUAUUUAUAACAAUGACUCUACAGAUUUGUAGUUACCAAGGUUGUUACCAACAACGUUUUCCUUGUAGUUCAAUUACGUUCUUCCAAUUGCCAACCGAUGAGCCAAGACGUACACAGUGGAUACUAAAUAGUGGAAAUAAACAACUGCUGGAGCUUAAGAACAACCAAAAGCGGUUUUUCUGUGAAAUACAUUUUCGGAAGAAAGACAUUAAACCACAUUUUUAUAGAAAACUUUUGUAUAGAAACGCAGUCCCUUUGCCAUAUGAGAGUAACGAAUCUGCUACACCAACUACAAAUACAAACACCAUACAAUAUACGGAGUUCGAAGUAGUAAGAGAUGACCAAGAUGAAGAUAAAGCAACAGACGUUGACAAUUUGUAUCAGGAUUUUGAAAUGAAUGAAGGAGAAUACGAACCCGUGGAUGAAGCUGUGCAGUCUAUGUCUACAAAUGAUUGUAUUUUGUGUGAUGCUGGCAACGAAGAUAGCAUACAAGAAAGCAAACUAUUGACUGAAGAAUUACUGGAUAUACCAGAAACUAUAACUCAACAUGCUGAAAUUAUACCUAUAAAACAAGAAUCUGAGUCCAAUCCUGUUAAUGAUUAUAUUGAUACAUCGAACAUUGUUGAUACACCGUCAACUUCCAGCAUUUUGCCGGCUACUUCCUACACUUCAAAUGCAAGUCACAGCUUAGAAACGCAUAAUGAUUACACUGCAACUGAAAGUGAAAGUGAAACUGCUGCUGUAGCAACAGCGGAUUCAGUGUUAAAUAGUGCUAAAGAAAUUGCCAACGAUUUAAAUGAGACUACAGCGUGUGAUAAAUCCUACGAAUCUGAUAAACAUUUUGCGCUCUCGCUUGUUUAUUACUUUCAACGUUUAAAUACUAAAAAGAAAGCGCAAGCAAAAAUUGACAUACUAACAUAUUUAGUAGCGCUCGAGCAGGACAUAGAUGCGUAACUUGAUGUGUACAUAAGUACAUAAGCUUUCUAGUUGCCUAUUGUAGUAUAAGAUUGUGCAGGUGGUGGGAUUUUGUCGAACACAACAUGAAAGUGAUUUUUAUGCUUAACAUUAUUAACUGUAGUCUGAAGUCAACGCUUCUUUCGUACAACACGCGUAUUUCAACGCUUUAAAGCUGGUACUAUGUGGUUCAUACGCCAAAAAGUAUGCAACAGCCUAUCACAAUCAAAUCUCAAAUCCCAUUAUGGAAUCUUUUUACGCAUUACACCAGUUUUUACGAACCAACAGCAUCAAAUCAAAUCUGUUAAGAUAUUUAGAAAUUCUUCUAAUUACCCCAGUCAAAUAAUUAUAUGUGCAUUUCGGCUUUUGUUUAUAUUUCUUAUUCAAUGUUAUUUUUUGGAUUUCGGUAAAUGUGGAAUAAAAGGUUGAUAGGUUACCGUUACUAUGCAACGAAAAUUGUUUCAUACUUUUCUCGUUCGUUGUACAGUUACAUUAACAAUGUGCUUGUGAAUUGGGUAUUGCAUAGAAAAUAUUUAUAUGUGCAAAAUCAGUUUAGCGGAUCUUCCUUACUGAUAGUGUCGCAGCAAAAACUUUUUUUGCUGAAAUUUGUUUUCAAAAUUAUUAUAGGUGCAUUAACUGAAUGAAUUAUUAAAAAUUUGAAUACCUUUAUUUAACUUUAAGCCUAAAAUGCCUCGUGGUACUAGUUUAUCAGCCAAGGAACAAGUAAUAAUCAUAGGAAUGCAUGAAAGCGGUUCCAAAAUGGUUCUAGACCAAAGCGACAUCGGAACUGUAUCUCAAAAUUUCUUAAAAACCCCACUAAUUAUGGCACCUAAGCCAACGCUAAAGAAAGACACAAUAAAGCACAUUUGAGGUUUGCAAAUAAAUACCAAUUCUGUGCCGAUGAGUGAUAGAAUACAGUCUUUAAUGACGAAAAAAAAUUAAAUUUGGUCCGCCCAGGUCAUUGCAAGAAAUAUUGGAGAGAUUCGCACCAGGAACGACGGUCCUACCACAAGCGAUGUUUUGGAAGCGGUACCUUGAUUUUAUGGGCUUCAUUUUGCUGCUGUGGAAAGCUAUCUACAUGUUUUAUAUUCACUCAAAUGAAUGCAAAUAUCAAUGUAGAUGUUUUGGACAGCGAUUUAAUAAAAUUUGUUGGAAAUAUUUAUGGCAUAUAACUGGACAUAUCGAAAGGAUAACGCUUCAAUCCACACGAAGAACAACUUUAACGACCGGAAAAUUCCGGUAUUACAAUGUGCAGCAUUGAGUUCGAACCUAAAUCUUAUUGAGGAUCUCUGGGGGAACCUCUCUGCUCCUGUUUUCCAAAACGGAAAGCAGUUUGAGACAGUACGUCACCUUAAAUUAGCCAUAAAGCAAGAAUUUGCCAAUAUUUACAUAACUAUUCUACAGUCAGUAGUUAAUUCUCUGAUUAAGCGGCUUAAUUUAGUUUUAAAAUAUAAUGACAAUUCUACUUACUAUUAAAAUAAACAUUUCUUUCAGUUAAACUCAAAUGUAUAGGCUUUACUGGUAAAAAUAGUAAAAUGCACAUAUAAAUAUUUACCAUUAGCCUAAACUUCAAUUUUGUUUUAUAGUUUAAAAAAUAUUUUGAAAUUUGUUAAUUUUUUGUUUUUUAUAUCGUAUACAUUAAUAAUAACAAACCUGCAUACUCAGAAAUAUUUUGCAAUUUUAUAUUCUUUAAUUUUUUUUUUGCAAAAAGUUCAUGCACAUAUAAUUAUUUGACUGAGGUACUUGGCAAUACACAAAUCUGCUCAGAUUUCAGAUAUGGAUUAGAUCUUAGGACCACAAUGAACGCGUAGUUAUGUUCUGUUGAGUAUUUCGGGAUUUGUUUUGAGAUUUCGAUAUUACAACAACAAAACAAUAUUAAGCUUUACUGUAAAAGUUGGAGGCAAGUUAAUCGUAAUUCUUCUGCAUUCCAAUCAAAUAUUUACCUCAUUUCUGAAAAAAAAUGUCGAGCUUUCUAAGCGUAUUUCUAUUAAUAUUUACAGUUGGUCCCAUACAAUAUUAUCACUUUAUCAACCAUCUUAACAUAUACAUAUACGUAAAUAUUUAAGCUCCUUUUUUUUCUAUUUUUCCAAAUUUUCACAUACAAUUUUAUUGAAAAAUUCUAUUGAUGAAGUUUUAAAUGUUGAUUUUGAAAAAAAUAGCGUAAACAAAAGGUGGAAAUGUUGGCGGAAUUUCUG